RNAcentral lists this long non-coding RNA (388 nucleotides) under Nicotiana tabacum (common tobacco). RNAcentral's name for it is "long non-coding RNA (NTAB_LNC018281)". Lineage: Eukaryota; Viridiplantae; Streptophyta; Magnoliopsida; Solanales; Solanaceae. The record is from RNAcentral.
AGCGAGAAAGAUACGUUCUUGUUCAACAAGAUAAUCCACGCAUGAAGAAAAUAAUCUUGGGGUGUGAGGGGAUGAGUAUUCAUUCUUGCCCGAUUCUUGGAGAGAUUACUCUCAAUGUGGCCCGAUUCUUGGAGAGGUUACUCUCAAAAUGGUCCGAUUCUUGGAGAGAUUACUCUUAAUGUGGCCCAAUUCUUGGAGAGAUUACUCUCAAAAUGGCCCGAUUCUUGGAGAGAUUACUCUCAAAAUGGCCCGAUUCUUGGAGAGAUUACUCUCAAUGUGGCCCAAUUCUUGGAGAGAUUACUCUCAAAAUGGCCCGAUUCUUGGAGAGAUUACUCUCAAAAUGGCCUAAUUCUUGGAGAGAUUACUCUCAAUGUGGCCCAAUUCUUGG